CUACGGGGGGCACCAGUGAGGAAUAUUGCACAAUGGGGGGAACCCUGAUGCAGCAACGCCGCGUGGAGGAUGACGCAUUUCGGUGUGUAAACUCCUUUUAUAUGUCAAGAAAAUGACGGUAGCAUAUGAAUAAGCACCGGCUAACUCCGUGCCAGCAGCCGCGGUAAUACGGAGGGUGCAAGCGUUACUCGGAAUCACUGGGCGCAAAGGACGCGUAGGCGGGUUGGAAAGUCAGGUGUGAAAUCCCACAGCUUAACUGUAGAACUGCACUUGAAACUUCUAAUCUAGAGGAUGGGAGGGGGAGAUGGAAUUAGUGGUGUAGGGGUAAAAUCCGUAGAUAUCACUAGGAAUACCUAAAGCGAAGGCGAUCUCCUGGAACAUUACUGACGCUAAGGCGUGAAAGCGUGGGGAGCAAACAGGAUUAGAUACCCCAGUAGUC
Molecule: ribosomal RNA, 439 nt
Filed under: uncultured bacterium
Lineage: Bacteria
Description: partial 16S ribosomal RNA
Rfam family: Bacterial small subunit ribosomal RNA
Source: RNAcentral